This is a long non-coding RNA of Callithrix jacchus (white-tufted-ear marmoset), 1261 nucleotides long. RefSeq lists it as uncharacterized. The record is from RefSeq and is a predicted model, not a curated record. Lineage: Eukaryota; Metazoa; Chordata; Mammalia; Primates; Cebidae.
GGCGGGCUCCGGGCUGGGGUUAAAUACCCCGGGGGGCAGCGCCCUGCCUCCCUACUCUUGCCCGGCGCCUGAGCCCACGGACAUGCAGAACGCGGCGAAGUUGUGCUAGUCGGCUACUCCCAGCUCCUCCUUCCCUAGGGUUCCAAUACUCAGAAAGCCUCAAGCUGGGUUCUCUGCAUGUAAAGUCUGCCCAGAGAAUGCAAAUUAUUGGCCAGAGCAAAAGAAAAUCAAGAAGAAAAAGUCUACUAAAAAGCGCCAUUUACUGAACAUUUCGUAUGUGUCCUCAUCUAAUCUGUACAAUGACCCAGUGAAGAAUUUAGGAAAGGUCAGCUGAGUACACAGCCAGAAGGUGCCCAUCUGCUACCCAAGGGUAAAGUCUCAGCAGAAACCAAUUGUACUGGCAUCCUGAUCUUAAACUUCCAGGCUCCAGAAUGGCCCCUCAAAAUACUUCUGGAACAACAUGAGGACUGAAGAUCCUGGAAACUGUCCCACCAUCCUCCACCAGUGACAGCUCUACUAUUCCAGCAACCAAAACAGGUCUGCUUCCCUGGCCUGGAGUUCCCUGAUUCCAAAAAGAAAAAAAUCCUGAUUUUGUAGUAUUUCCCCUGAUAUAUAAAUAUUGCUUUUCCUGGCCCUAAUGCCUAGCCUCUUACAUCCAACUUUCAUUGAAUGGCUGGUGGGUGGCAAGGUCUGGGAACACAAAGCCAGUUACAGCCUGGCUCCAGCCAUCAUGGGGCACCCAGAGCAGAGGACCAAGUGACCUCUCAAGGCAGCUGUCCCAUGACCCUGUUUUCCUGAUGGAAAAGCCACACUGCUGUCUUCCCCCACAGUUCCCCUCAGAUCUGCAGGUUCUCACUGAGCAACUAUUACCUGUCAGCUAUGGUCUUAGGCUUGCUGAGGACACAGUAAAAAGUGAGAUCCUUCCAGUCUUCAGGAGUUAAUAGCUGGAUUUGCAGGGAGAGGAGGCAGUGCAGAGCAGGUGCAAGGCAAGUACCCCAAACCCUGUACUGUCAGGCAGAAUAUAAGGCCUCUUCUUGCUAAGCUGUGUCUUUAAAAACAAAGCAAAAAGUAAAUAAAGACAAAGUCUUUUCUUUUCUCUUUUUUUGAGAUGAAGUCUCGCCCUGUCGCCCAGGCUGGAGUGCAAUGGCACGAUCUCGGCUCACUGCAACCUCUGCCUCACAGAUUCAAGAGAUUCUCCCAUGUUUAAGAGAUUCUCCCACCUCGGUCUCCUGAGUUGCUGGGAUUACAGGCGCGCACCACC